ACGCACGCUGGCGGCGUGCUUAACACAUGCAAGUCGAACGGAAAGGCCCUGCUUUUGUGGGGUGCUCGAGUGGCGAACGGGUGAGUAACACGUGAGUAACCUGCCCUUGACUUUGGGAUAACUUCAUGAAACUUGGGCUAAUACCGGAUAGGAGCUCCUGCUGCAUGGUGGGGGUUGGAAAGUUUCGGCGGUUGGGGAUGGACUCGCGGCUUAUCAGCUUGUUGGUGGGGUAGUGGCUUACCAAGGCUUUGACGGGUAGCCGGCCUGAGAUGGUGAACGGCCACAUUGGGACUGAGAUACGGCACAGACUCCUACGGGAGGCAGCAGUGGGGAAUAUUGCACAAUGGGCGGAAGCCUGAUGCAGCAACGCCGCGUGCGGGAUGACGGCCUUCGGGUUGUAAACCGCUUUCGCCUGUGACGAAGCGUGAGUGACGGUAAUGGGUAAAGAAGCACCGGCUAACUACGUG
This 467-nucleotide ribosomal RNA is filed under the name uncultured bacterium. RNAcentral's name for it is "partial 16S ribosomal RNA". It matches the Rfam family "Bacterial small subunit ribosomal RNA", at positions 29 to 507 of the family's 1533-position model. The record is from RNAcentral.